UGGGGGAUCGUUCAAUGGCAGGACGGUUGACUCUGGAUCAACUAAUCGGGGUUCGAAUCCCUGUCCCCCAGUCA
This 74-nucleotide transfer RNA is filed under the name Caldifarciminota bacterium. Its description in RNAcentral is "tRNA-Gln". It matches the Rfam family "tRNA". From Rfam's summary of the family: Transfer RNA (tRNA) molecules are approximately 80 nucleotides in length. Their secondary structure includes four short double-helical elements and three loops (D, anti-codon, and T loops). Lineage: Bacteria; Pseudomonadati; Caldifarciminota. The record is from RNAcentral.